RNAcentral lists this long non-coding RNA (497 nucleotides) under Homo sapiens (human). RNAcentral's name for it is "HSALNT0366940". Lineage: Eukaryota; Metazoa; Chordata; Mammalia; Primates; Hominidae. The record is from RNAcentral.
CUCCGGUCCCCUUCCACAGUGUGGAAGGUUUGUUCUUUCGCUCUUUGCAAUAAAUCUUGCUGCUGCUCACUCCUUGGGUCCACACUGCUUUUAUGAGCUGUAACACUCACUGGGAAAGUCUGCAGCUUCACUCCUGAAGCCAGCGAGACCACGAGCCCACCGGGAGAAACGAACAACUCCAGACGCGCCGCCUUAAGAGCUGUAACACUCACCGCGAAGGUCUGCAGCUUCACUCCUGAGCCAGCGAGACCACGAACCCACCACAAGGAAGAAACUCUGAACACAUCCGAACAUCAGGAGGAACAAACUCCAGACGCGCCACCUUAAGAGCUGUGACACUCACCUUGAGGGCCCACGGCUUCAUUCUUGACAUCAGUGAGACCAAGAACCCACCAAUUCCAGACACAAUGGGGCUUCCUCUCCACUGACUUCUGCAACAUGGCCCAUGUCACUGAGCUGGCAACCAAGAGGGUGGUAGUUUAAUAUUUUGGUUGAUG